Molecule: microRNA precursor, 59 nt
Organism: Oreochromis aureus
Lineage: Eukaryota; Metazoa; Chordata; Actinopteri; Cichliformes; Cichlidae
Source: Ensembl
UACAUUGAAGGUUCUGAGCUUUCGUAGAAAGUAAAUCCAGCUCAGACCCUUUUUGUAGG